AUCAACGCUGGCGGCGUGCCUCAGACAUGCAAGUCGAACGAUUAAAGCUCUCUUCGGAGAGUGUAUAGAGUGGCGCACGGGUGAGUAACACGUAAGUAAUCUACCCUCGAGUGGGAAGUAACGUCCGGAACGGACGCUAAUACCGCAUAAUGCAGCGGCACCGCAAGGUGACAGUCGUUAAAGAUUUAUCGCUUGAGGAGGAGCUUGCGGCAGAUUAGCUAGGGUUAAGGUAA
Molecule: ribosomal RNA, 233 nt
Filed under: uncultured bacterium
Lineage: Bacteria
Description: partial 16S ribosomal RNA
Rfam family: Bacterial small subunit ribosomal RNA
Source: RNAcentral